UCUGUGGAGAGCAAGUUCAUGGGGGUGGAAAGGGGAGUGCAGGCUGUCAUCACCGAGACAGCGCCCCCCCCCCCAUCCUGGCGGAUUCUAAGAUAAAGAGACAAUAGUACCACUGGACGACCUAAAAUACGUGCCUCAGAGUCUACCUCUGGGAACCACGAGGGAAGUGACACGGAGCAGAGCGUCGUGCCCCAGGCUCCGCACCUCCCAGGCUACUGAUCCUCCACAGAGUUCCACUCCAGUCCUACUCCUGGUUGUUAAAGCCCCACAUACUGAAGCCCAGGAUCUCUGAACUGUGGGAACUUCAGACAUCGCUGAAUUCCUCCAAUGACUUCGGUCCAGGAUUCAGGCGCCUAAUCUGGGCCUGGCGCUUGCCAGGCCAGCUUCCCUGCCAUUCUUUGCAAGAACUGUGUGUACAGCAUCGGACUUACUUUCCCAGAAGUGCUUCUGGAACCAGAGUCCACACAAAGGGGCUGUUAAAUGUGCUUUCCUCCUUUUGGCCCAGCUGGCUCCUGAGCUUCAGGUCACACAGAGCUCACAGUUCCUAUCGACUUUUCCCAAAGGAUCCCUGGGCUCCUGCAGGAGCCAGCCCGUCCCUGGGGCAGGAAGUUCUGUUUACUCUGUCUUGGAGCCAGGUGCUCAUCCAUAAAAGGGAAACGAGUCCUUUAGGAAAAGGGCUGGGUGCUUGGAAAUUCUUUAAAAGUGAAAGCCCCAAGGCUGCUGUCUGUUGUUCUGUACUUCGGCUUGAUACAGUUUUUCUGUACAUAAAAGCACAGGCCGUGGGGAUUGGCUGAAGGGUACAUCUAAGAAACAACAUCUAAUAAACAAAAAGUGUGGAGAGAA
RNAcentral lists this small RNA (843 nucleotides) under Rattus norvegicus (Norway rat). RNAcentral describes it as "uncharacterized LOC102552817". The record is from RNAcentral. Lineage: Eukaryota; Metazoa; Chordata; Mammalia; Rodentia; Muridae.